Molecule: long non-coding RNA, 526 nt
Organism: Heterocephalus glaber (naked mole-rat)
Lineage: Eukaryota; Metazoa; Chordata; Mammalia; Rodentia; Bathyergidae
Source: Ensembl
GCAGCCACGUGAUCGGGGUAUCUACGCAGCAAGGUCGUGAGGUCAGCGAGGGGAGCCCCAGACCGCUCCGACUGGGAAACGGCCUGGCGCCGCUCGCCGGCUAGGGCAGCUUUCCUUCCUCCACUGCCGGCCCUUGUAGCUCCGCAGGGGCUGGAGGGCGAGGCCGCAGCGGCGAAAACGACUGAAGUCCGGGCUCAGCCGCGGGCUUUAGGCAUGCAGAGUGGCAGAGAGGCCAGGAAGCAUCCAGGCCACAGACUGAGCCACCCAAAUGGAAACGUUGUGGACCUCAAGACAUCUUUUGACUGCACAGAGAGAUGUUGCCUUCCGUAUUUCUAGCAGCACAACUCCAAGCCUCACCCAACAAAAGUGUCUCAGAAAAUUCGUUCAGGAUACUUCUUCACUGGGUUGGUUUAUCUAGGGUGGGGUGGUGCGGUGAGUUAGAAACCAACUGAAUUGAAUGGUGAUGCAUGCCUAUAAUCCCAGCACUCGGGAGGCUGAGGCAGGAGGAUCACUGUGAGUUUGAGGC